Molecule: long non-coding RNA, 4301 nt
Filed under: Brassica napus (rape)
Lineage: Eukaryota; Viridiplantae; Streptophyta; Magnoliopsida; Brassicales; Brassicaceae
Description: long non-coding RNA (BNAP_LNC007581)
Source: RNAcentral
GGACUUUAUUAAUUUAAGAAGGACUCAAGAUGGGCGAUGCAAUGUCAAUGAUAGCAGCGGUUUUCCUGGGACUCCUUGCUUCGAAUCAGCUGAACCUUCCUUUGUGGUUGCUCGGUCGAAGUACUCAGAACUAUCUGAUUUUAGUCCGAUGGUUGAUUCACUGGGGGACGUGGCCGAUGAAGACACUUGGACAAAACUAAACAAGGGUUUUGUCCCAGACCUUGAUCAACUCCAGUUUACACCUGCAAUUAAAAGACAACCCACUCCAUUAAUUGCUGCAACCACGGUUAGUAGAUACAAAUACUUGACCCAUGUUAUCUUCCAAUAGUAACAGAGUUGCAAUGAAUAGAGACAUGUGGAUGCAUAUGGUCUAACAACUCUCAUUCAUCUUUUCUUUGGGGUUCUAGUCUCUUUAUUCGCUCCCCUUCUCAUAUCAGCUUGCACACAAACACUCUGGUGUAUCAAUACUGGCUGGUAUCUAGCUCAUGUAUACUGAGAAUUACUAAAUUUUGAAACUUCAUAUAGAUGAAUACAGAAUACGCAUACAUUAUCCAAAACAUGUUCCUAAGCUGGCCAUAAUUUUUCGUUAACUUUUUUUUAGGAAUGCUCGCGUGAAAAUCAGAAAGUGGUGGACGAUCUCAAAAGUCAGAUUGAGUUGCUGACCAGCGAAAAGGACAGCCUGCAGGUUAGACAUAUUGGCUUUAUUGGUUGUUCAAGUGAAUAUGCUUUAGCCUUUAGCCAUAAAAUGAAUAUUCUGUUAAAAAUUAAAUGAAUGAUACCAGCUGAUUGUUUAUGCAUCAACUAUGCAUUCUCAGGUAAAAUUCAGCGAACAAGUAGUACUGAACAACAAACUUUUGGGAGAGAUAUCUGAGCUCAAAGAAGGAACGCUUCACAUGAAAGAAAUUCCAAAACUGUUAUCUGAGUCGGUUGCUAAUUGCAAGGAUGUAUACAAGGACGUGAUAGUCACAAUGAAGGUGAACAGCUUACCUUUUCUUAUGUGAAUGAUCAUCACUAAAAGGAAAAUUGAGUUUAAAGUCUUUUGUCUUGCAUUUUGUCAGACCUUAAUGGCUGAGAAAGAAUCUCCGACAGCAAAGCUACUCUUUGGUGUAACUGGAAUCUCAACAAGCCUUCUUUCAACUCUAGAAUCACAAUUCUCAAUGAUAAUGGAUGGUCAGAAAGCGGGUAGCAUCGUAGAUUAUCCUUUAUAUGAUCAAUGGGAAACACUUCGUGUUAGUCUGAAGAACACAGCCACAAGCCUGCUGUUAGACGCACAAGCAAAAGAUGAAAUUCUUAACUCCCACGACAAGGUAGAUUCCUUGUCACAAUCAUCAAGAUACGGAUCAGUUUUACUUAUUGUUUCUUUCGUUUUGCUUUUAUACUUUUGUCUCUCUUUUUAUACUUUUGUCUCUCUUGUUAGGACUUAGUCCAGUGAAACCUCUGCAUACGUUUAGUGAGGCCGCCGACGCCGGAAUCAUCAUCAUCGGAGAACGGAUCUUCUCUCUGGAAAGUCGAAGACAAUCGCAUCUCUCUUCACAAGUCACUCGACACCCCAAUCUCAACCGCUUCUUACGCUUUCGGUACCAAAUCUUUCUCAAUCCAUUUAUUCGGGGUUUCGAUUUCUACGUAUCUGGGUAACUUCAAAAUCUCAUCUUUGUAAUCUCUGUGGUGUUUGUUCUUUUGCAGACCAUGUGUUCGACGAAAGGUCUACGAACGCAUGCGUCUACGAACUUCUCACCAAGGAUAUCAUUCAUGCUGCCGUCGAGGGUUUUAACGGUAUUCGGAUCUGAUCCAAACCUUAAUAACAAAAAACGCGAGGUUAAUUUGGUUUUGAGUUUCUUGAUGUAUGGUUUUGUUCAGGUACUGCGUUUGCUUAUGGGCAAACUAGUAGUGGAAAGACGUUUACAAUGACGGGUUCUGAGACUGAUCCAGGGAUUAUUCGAAGAUCUGUCAGAGAUGUGUUUGAUAGAAUACAAAUGGUAGAUCAAUUGAAUGAUUCGGUGAGUUUUUAUAACUAAAGAGUUCAGUUUUUUAACUUGUGUGUGUGUUGAUGAUCUUUAGAUAUCGGACCGUGAGUUUCUCAUCCGGGUUUCGUACAUGGAGAUUUAUAAUGAAGAAAUUAAUGAUCUUUUAGCUGUUGAGAACCAGAGACUGCAAAUUCAUGAACAUUUGGAGGUUGGUUUGAUGGAACGUCUACACAAGUGAUGUUACAUCAUUUAGUUUUGCUCAAGUGUUACUAAACCGGUUUGCUUGUCUUUGAUGUGCAGCGUGGAGUGUUUGUUGCUGGUCUUAAGGAAGAGAUUGUUAGUGACGCUGAACAGAUUCUAAAGCUUUUAGACUCUGGAGAAGGUUUUUAAGCCAAAGCUAAGCUAAGAAGUAUUUUGAUUAUGCAUAAUAAUGUGUACUGACAUGGUCUUCUUUAAUUAACAGUUAAUAGGCACUUUGGCGAGACAAACAUGAACGUUCAUAGUAGCAGGUCCCAUACCAUCUUCAGAAUGGUAAGGGUUUUCAAAUCUAUGUACGGAAACUUCUACUGUUUUGUAAGUGAUUAUUUUGAUCUGAUCUCUCUGGUGGGAUAGGUGAUUGAGAGCAGGGGAAAAGAAAACUCUUCUACGGAUGCUAUCCGUGUCUCAGUCUUGGUGAGUGAUAAUUUUACCAUCUUCCAAAAGUUUCUUUUGGAAGCUACAUUUAAAUGAUAAUUCUCUUACUGGUGUUCUGGAAUCUAGAAUUUGGUUGACUUGGCUGGAUCUGAGCGUAUUGCUAAAACCGGUGCUGGUGGAGUGCGCUUGACAGAAGGGAAGUACAUUAAUAAGAGCUUAAUGAUUCUUGGUAAUGUUAUCAAUAAGCUAAGUGAAAGUUCAAAGCUAAGGUACUUUCUUACCCUUUCAUUUAGCUACACGUAACAACGAUACAGCUCAGCUCAUUUCUUACAUUCUUGAUUAUAGGGCACAUAUUCCUUACCGAGACAGUAAGCUAACUAGAAUUCUUCAGCCUGCACUUGGUGGUAAUGCCAAGACUUGCAUUAUAUGCACUAUCGCACCAGAAGAGGUAAAAGAAGUUUUCUUUUUGUCUGGUUUUGCAUUUUCCUGGCUUUUGUUAAUCAUGUACACGAAAUAUUAGUCAAUUAAUGAGUAAUAGUUGAAUGCUCAUGUGUGUAGCAUCAUAUUGAGGAAUCAAAAGGAACUCUCCAAUUUGCAAGCAGAGCCAAACGCAUCACCAACUGUGCUCAAAUUAAUGAGGUCAGCCUGUCAAUGAGCGCAAGAUUCUUGGGAGAGAUUUAACUCACUUUCUUCUUUGUGUCCUGUUGAUUGGUUUUUCUUCUUCUUCUUUAUUGAAUAUCUGACAGUGUUUCAAUGCUUCAGAUCUUGACUGAUGCUGCUUUGUUGAAACGCCAAAAAUUAGAGAUAGAAGAACUAAGGAUGAAGCUUCAGGUAUAGUCAACUUUUAUUUCAAAUACAUCUAGGCAUGGGGACAACACUAACAUUACUAAAUUUUGUAGGGAUCCCAUGCUGAGGUGUUGGAACAAGAGAUAUUAAAGUUAAGCAAUCAGAUGCUUAAGGUAGUUUUUUUGCAUUUUUCUCUUGUGUAUGUAUUCUAUAGAACAUUGAGCAGACACAGUAUACUAAACAUCUACCCUUUUGUUUAAUUUCCAGUAUGAGCUAGAAUGUGAAAGGCUAAAAACACAACUGGAAGAAGAGAGAGGAAAACAGAAGGAGCAGGAGCAAUGCAUCAAGGAGCAACAGUUAAAAAUUGAGAACUUAAACAAUCUUGUCACUAAUUCAGACUAUAAGAAGAACCAGUCAGAGGUACAUAUGCAUUCAUUGGCUUAGAUAGAUUUUCUGAAUAAUGCCUCAACCAUAACACCCAGACAUUUUUCUGAGAAACAGGCUUUAAUUUGCAAACUCCUAACAUCUUAUUGAGAUUGUUAGAGAAGUUAAUUAUUGCUUUUAUGCUAAUGUGUUGGACUCAUGUAGUUUGGUUAUGUAAAGCUUUUGUUAAUGUAACAUCUCUACUGGCAGGACUUUAUUAAUUUAAGAAGGACUCAAGAUGGGCGAUGCAAUGUCAAUGAUAGCAGCGGUUUUCCUGGGACUCCUUGCUUCGAAUCAGCUGAACCUUCCUUUGUGGUUGCUCGGUCGAAGUACUCAGGACUAUCUGAUUUUAGUCCAAUGGUUGAUUCACUGGGGGACGUGGCCGAUGAAGACACUUGGACAAAACUAAACAAGGGUUUUGUCCCAGACCUUGAUCAACUCCAGUUUACACCUGCAAUUAAAAGACAACCCACUCCAUUAAUUGCUGCAACCACG